Molecule: long non-coding RNA, 1241 nt
Filed under: Equus caballus (horse)
Lineage: Eukaryota; Metazoa; Chordata; Mammalia; Perissodactyla; Equidae
Description: lncRNA (ENSECAG00000051705.1)
Source: RNAcentral
AGAAGAUCAAGUCCCUUGUCCUAGGUCACAGAGUGACCAAGUGACACAGCCCCGAGUCUCAGAAGAUGGCUAAAAUGGCAGUGGAAGCCACAACUUGGGGGCUGGAGCGGCACCGUAUGGAAGUGUGACUCAUUGUUUAAUGUGGCAGCUCAUUAGCAGAGCUUGUUGCUGCCUCUGAUUUCUCUGCUCUCGCUAAUUGGAGAGCCCAGUGGGGCCCUGGCUUCCCGGGAAGAACGAGCCAGUCCCCCAGGGCUCCAGCUGGCCCUUGCCCCUCUGGCUCCCUGAGGAGGCUGCCCCACGCCUGUGAGCACUGGUAUCGGCCAGACCUGGUUCAAAUCCCGGCUCGUGCUGGCAGUGUGAGCUCGGACAAGGCUCCUUGUGCACUCCUCCUCUCUGAGCCUCAGUUUCCCUUCUCACCUAAUGAGGGAAAUAGUAGCCACCUCAUCGGGGUGGGUGAGAGGAAUAGUAAUAAUAGCUGUAAAGUCCCUUAUUGUGGGGGUGCGCAGGAGAUGCUCAAUAAGUGGUUAUUGUAGUGUUAUUAUUAGACUGGAACCUCAGGGACGCCCUCAUCCUGACCUCCCUGGGGCAGCCCCCCAGCCCAGAGGUGCUCCGGAGGCUCCAGGUGUGAGGGCCUGUCCCCCCGUAGGUGAUCUAAAAACGUUUCUUCCUUCGAUGCUUGACCCCUCCUAUGGCAAAUCGGCCGGGCUCCCUUCACCCUUGGCGCUCCCAGAGGAGGCAGCAGAGCCUGUCGGGGACAGUCCUGGCCUGCCCUUGAGGGCAAGUCUGCUCCCCCGGAGCACUCUCUCAAUUCCAGCUCUCCUCUUCGAGGCCACACGGAACACAUCUGCUCCCUUGGCCCCGUGACCAUCCUUUGCUAUUUGGAGGCAGUGACGUCCCCUCUCCAAGUCCUCCCUCCAGGUGGAACCAGUCCAGGCCCUUCAACUGUCCCUUCCGUGGCAUAGUUCGUGGGGUCACUGAAUACACUGGACCAUGAUGUCAGCGGUGCCCCCGGAGUUGUGCAGUGCUGUGGCCUCGUUCUGAGUCCUGUCCCCACCAUCCUCACUCGCUCUGCACGUGCUCCUCCCUGCCUGCAGGCCUGUUACGAUGUGUGGUCCAGAAUUGAACUCAGUCCUCCUCUGCACAGUGUAGGGCAGCCCUGUCUCCUCCCUCAUUUGAGACCUGCGCUGUCCAGUUGCCGUAGAAUGUGAGCCACUUGUGUAAUUUUAAAUUUUCUAGUAGCC